AAGUCGUAACAAGGUCUCCGUAGGUGAACCUGCGGAGGGAUCAUUACUGAAUGGCCUUUCUCGGCCUUCAACCUUACAAACCCGUGGAAGCGAGACGUGCUUCGGCGCUCCGGCGUCGCUUUUAUGCAAGGGAUCAGCCUUUCGUGUCUGAAUCAAACAUGAGAAUAAAACUUUCAACAAAGGAUCUCUUGGCUCUC
This 197-nucleotide unclassified non-coding RNA is filed under the name Archaeorhizomyces sp. Its description in RNAcentral is "partial internal transcribed spacer region". The stretch from base 1 to 46 matches the Rfam family "Eukaryotic small subunit ribosomal RNA", at positions 1786 to 1831 of the family's 1831-position model. The record is from RNAcentral. Lineage: Eukaryota; Fungi; Ascomycota; Archaeorhizomycetes; Archaeorhizomycetales; Archaeorhizomycetaceae.